This 253-nucleotide ribosomal RNA is filed under the name uncultured bacterium. RNAcentral's name for it is "partial 16S ribosomal RNA". It matches the Rfam family "Bacterial small subunit ribosomal RNA", at positions 524 to 776 of the family's 1533-position model. The record is from RNAcentral.
UACGUAGGUGGCAAGCGUUGUCCGGAUUUACUGGGCGUAAAGAGCGCGCAGGCGGUCGGAUCAGUCGAAUGUGAAAGCCCCCGGCUCAACUGGGGAGGGUCAUUCGAUACUGUCCGACUCGAAGGCAGGAGAGGGAAGCGGAAUUCCCGGUGUAGUGGUGAAAUGCGUAGAUAUCGGGAGGAACACCAGUGGCGAAGGCGGCUUUCUGGCCUGUUCUUGACGCUGAGGCGCGAAGGCGUGGGGAGCGAACGGG